This 254-nucleotide ribosomal RNA is filed under the name uncultured bacterium. RNAcentral describes it as "partial 16S ribosomal RNA". It matches the Rfam family "Bacterial small subunit ribosomal RNA", at positions 524 to 776 of the family's 1533-position model. The record is from RNAcentral.
UACGUAGGUGGCGAGCGUUGUCCGGAUUUACUGGGCGUAAAGGGCGCGUAGGUGGUGGCUUAAGCGUGCGGUGAAAGCUCGGAGCUCAACUCCGAGUCGGCCGUGCGAACUGGGCUCACUGGAGCAUAGUAGAGGCAGGUUGAAUUCCGGGUGUAGCGGUGGAAUGCGUAGAGAUCCGGAAGAACACCGGUGGCGAAAGCGGCUUUCUGGUCCUUAACUGACGCUGAGGCGCGAAAGCAUGGGGAGCGAACGGG